CAGUUGGUAUCAGAGUCGUGUUCCUCGGACUCGUCCUUUACACAAUGAGAAACACCAAACCAAUAAAUUAUUACUCAACCCUUUCUUGUGAAAUGGAAGUACGGAGAGAUGAGAAGAGGAAGACCCCCCACUAAACUGAGCAGCCCGGGUUGGUUCGCUUCGGGAAGAUGUUGACAAGAUAUUUGAGACGCUGGAGAGACUCAUUGCUGCCCAGCAGGGCCGAGAGGAGAGAGGGGAGCUACCUGACCCUCCCCCGCUGCCACAGGUUGAGCCACCACUGCAGCGAGAGGAUCCCGAGCAACUCCGGUACGAGCCUGCUCCUCCACAGUACCACCCUGUGCCACCGCCGCAGUAUAAUCUGGUGCCCCAGCCACAGUACUACCUGGCAUCGCCACCGUAUAAUCCGGUGCCCCCACCAUAUCAGCAAGUACCACCACAGGGUCCCCUAGUCUAUCCUC
Molecule: long non-coding RNA, 458 nt
Filed under: Carica papaya (papaya)
Lineage: Eukaryota; Viridiplantae; Streptophyta; Magnoliopsida; Brassicales; Caricaceae
Description: long non-coding RNA (CPAP_LNC009291)
Source: RNAcentral